RNAcentral lists this long non-coding RNA (529 nucleotides) under Ananas comosus (pineapple). RNAcentral's name for it is "long non-coding RNA (ACOM_LNC011731)". The record is from RNAcentral. Lineage: Eukaryota; Viridiplantae; Streptophyta; Magnoliopsida; Poales; Bromeliaceae.
CUAUUUAUUUUACUAUUAAUAGCGUACUAACAUAAUAUAUAGGGUUUUUUUUGCAAAUAGCCCUCUUACAAAUUUUUUUUUUAAAAUUGGCCUUAUCAAAAAUUUAUUUACAAAAAUGGCCCUGGUCCCGCCACGCAAGCACCACGUCAGCGCCACGCGGGCGGGGCUGGGCCAGAUGGUUAAGUUGAACACUGUGAAUCAUUCACCGUGUUCAAUAUAAAGUUCUUGUAUUGGACACGGUGAAUGAUGUGUCCAAUACAAAAUAGCUAAGAUCGAAAUAUUUGUAUUGGACACGGUGAACCAUUCACCGUGUCCAAUACAAAAAUUUUGUAUUGAACACGGUGCACCGUGUUCAACUUAAACACCUGGGCCCGCCCUGCCCGCGUGGCGCUGACGUGGCGCUGACAUGGCAGGGGCAGGGCUAUUUUUGCAAAUAAUUUUUGAACGGGACUAUUUUUACAAAUAAAAUUUGUCAGGAGGCUAUUUGCAAAAAAAAGUCCGAAUAUAUAUAUAUAUAUAUAUGGUAAAU